ACGGAGGGAGCUAGCGUUGUUCGGAAUUACUGGGCGUAAAGCGCGCGUAGGCGGUUAUUCAAGUCAGAGGUGAAAGCCCGGGGCUCAACCCCGGAACGGCCUUUGAAACUAGAUAACUAGAAUCUUGGAGAGGUCAGUGGAAUUCCGAGUGUAGAGGUGAAAUUCGUAGAUAUUCGGAAGAACACCAGUGGCGAAGGCGACUGACUGGACAAGUAUUGACGCUGAGGUGCGAAAGCGUGGGGAGCAAACAGG
RNAcentral lists this ribosomal RNA (252 nucleotides) under uncultured bacterium. RNAcentral's name for it is "partial 16S ribosomal RNA". It matches the Rfam family "Bacterial small subunit ribosomal RNA", at positions 525 to 776 of the family's 1533-position model. The record is from RNAcentral.